AUAUCAAUAAGCGGAGGAAAAGAAAUUAACCAAGAUUCCCUCAGUAACGGCGAGUGAACAGGGAUGAGCUCAGGCUUAAAAUCUCCUGGUUCUGCCAGGCGAAUUGUAGUAUUGCGAGUGGGGUACGGAGGACGGUCUCGGCCCAAGUUUCCUGGAAAGGAGCGCCCUUGAAGGUGAUAGCCCUGUGGGGCUGAGAUCAACACGUCUUUCGAACGUCCCACAUCGUAGAGUCGGGUUGCUUGGGAGUGCAGCCCAAAAUGGGUGGUAAAUUCCAUCUAAAGCUAAAUACGGGCGGGAGACCGAUAGCGCACAAGUA
This 316-nucleotide ribosomal RNA is filed under the name uncultured eukaryote. RNAcentral's name for it is "partial large subunit ribosomal RNA". It matches the Rfam family "Eukaryotic large subunit ribosomal RNA", at positions 40 to 350 of the family's 3401-position model. The record is from RNAcentral.